RNAcentral lists this ribosomal RNA (942 nucleotides) under Fomitopsis palustris. RNAcentral's name for it is "partial large subunit ribosomal RNA". It matches the Rfam family "Eukaryotic large subunit ribosomal RNA", at positions 35 to 962 of the family's 3401-position model. Lineage: Eukaryota; Fungi; Basidiomycota; Agaricomycetes; Polyporales; Fomitopsidaceae. The record is from RNAcentral.
UAAGCAUAUCAAUAAGCGGAGGAAAAGAAACUAACAAGGAUUCCCCUAGUAACUGCGAGUGAAGCGGGAAAAGCUCAAAUUUAAAAUCUGGCGGUCUUUGGCCGUCCGAGUUGUAGUCUGGAGAAGUGCUUUCCGCGCUGGACCGUGUACAAGUCUCUUGGAACAGAGCGUCAUAGAGGGUGAGAAUCCCGUCUUUGACACGGACUACCAGUGCUUUGUGAUGCGCUCUCAAAGAGUCGAGUUGUUUGGGAAUGCAGCUCAAAAUGGGUGGUAAAUUCCAUCUAAAGCUAAAUAUUGGCGAGAGACCGAUAGCGAACAAGUACCGUGAGGGAAAGAUGAAAAGCACUUUGGAAAGAGAGUUAAACAGUACGUGAAAUUGCUGAAAGGGAAACGCUUGAAGUCAGUCGCGUUGGCCAGGACUCAGCCUUGCUUUUCGCUUGGUGCAUUUUCUGGUUGACGGGCCAGCAUCGAUUUUGACCACUGGAAAAAGGCUAGGGGAAUGUGGCACCUUCGGGUGUGUUAUAGCCCUUAGUCACAUACAGUGGUUGGGAUCGAGGACCGCAGCACGCCUUUAUGGCCGGGGUUCGCCCACGUUCGUGCUCAGGAUGCUGGCGUAAUGGCUUUAAACGACCCGUCUUGAAACACGGACCAAGGAGUCUAACAUGCCUGCGAGUGUUUGGGUGGAAAACCCGAGCGCGUAAUGAAAGUGAAAGUUGAGAUCCCUGUCGUGGGGAGCAUCGACGCCCGGACCUGAACUUCGGUGAUGGAUCUGCGGUAGAGCAUGUAUGUUGGGACCCGAAAGAUGGUGAACUAUGCCUGAAUAGGGUGAAGCCAGAGGAAACUCUGGUGGAGGCUCGUAGCGAUUCUGACGUGCAAAUCGAUCGUCAAAUUUGGGUAUAGGGGCGAAAGACUAAUCGAACCAUCUAGUAGCUGGUUCCUGCC